UCUCCGGUGGGUGAGGAGGCCUGGAAUGGUUCCUCGUUGAAAGGGCGCUGAAACCAUGCUUUUCGGCGUUGCCCAAGGAUGGGGCCGCGGCCGAUCAGGUUGUUGGUGGGGUAACGGCUCACCAAGCCUUUGACCGGUACGGGCCGCGAGAGCGGGAGCCUGGAGAUGGGCACUGAGACAAGGGCCCAGGCCCUACGGGGCGCAGCAGUCGCGAAAACUUCGCAAUACACGAAAGUGUGACGGGGCUAUCCCGAGUGCCGUCCGCUGAGGAUGGCUUUUCCCUAGUGUAGAUAGCUGGGGGAAUAAGGAGAGGGCAAGUCUGGUGUCAGCCGCCGCGGUAAUACCAGCUCUUCGAGUGGUGGGGAUGUUUACUGGGCCUGAAGCAUCCGUAGCUGGCUGGGCAAGUUCUCUGUUAAAUCCAGCGAUUUAAUCGUUGGAUUGCGGGGAAUACUGCUCGGCUUGGGGGCGGGAGAGGUCGUCGGUAUUCUUGGGGUAGGGGUAAAAUCUUAUAAUCCCAAGAGGACCACCAGUGGCGAAGGCUGUCGGCUAGAACGCGCCCGACGGUGAGGGAUGAAAGCUGGGGGAGCGAACCGGAUUAGAUACCCGGGUAGUCCCAGCUGUAAACGAUGCAGGCUAGGUGUUAGAGCGGCUACGUGCCGCUUUAGUGCCGCAGGGAAGCUGUUUAGCCUGCCGCCUGGGGAGUACGGCCGCAAGGCUGAAACUUAAAGGAAUUGGCGGGGGAGCACCACAAGGGGUGAAGCUUGCGGUUU
This 770-nucleotide ribosomal RNA is filed under the name uncultured bacterium. Its description in RNAcentral is "bacterial SSU rRNA". It matches the Rfam family "Archaeal small subunit ribosomal RNA", at positions 150 to 903 of the family's 1478-position model. The record is from RNAcentral.